ACGUAGGAGGCUAGCGUUAUCCGGAUUUACUGGGCGUAAAGCGCGUGUAGGUGGUUUCGUAAGUUGGAUGUGAAAGCUCCUGGCUUAACUGGGAGAGGUCGUUCAAGACUACGAGACUUGAGAGUGGUAGAGGGAGGUGGAAUUCCGGGUGUAGUGGUGAAAUGCGUAGAUAUCCGGAGGAACACCAGUGGCGAAAGCGGCCUCCUGGACCAUUUCUGACACUCAGACGCGAAAGCUAAGGUAGCAAACGGGAUUAGAGACCCCGGUAGUCUUAGCUGUAAACGAUGUGAACUUGGCGUCGGUGGGUUCAAAUCCAUCGGUGCCGAAGCUAACGCGAUAAGUUCACCGCCUGGGGACUACGGCCGCAAGGUUA
This 373-nucleotide ribosomal RNA is filed under the name uncultured bacterium. RNAcentral's name for it is "bacterial SSU rRNA". It matches the Rfam family "Bacterial small subunit ribosomal RNA", at positions 525 to 896 of the family's 1533-position model. The record is from RNAcentral.